GGGCGGUGGGGAGCGGGCGGAGCUGGCCUUGCCUCCGCCUGGCCGGCGCCGCAGUCGGCGCGGGCCGCGCCCGCCGCCGUAAACUGCCCUGAGCGCCUGCUGAGGCCGAGGGAGACGUCGGGGCCUGCACCUGGAGGGAGCCUGCCGCGCUGGCCCCGAGGAGGGGGCGUUGCCAUGGCGACAGCCUCUCCCGCCGCUGACGGGGGGCGGGGGCGGCCCUGGGAAGGAGGGCUGGUCUCCUGGCCCCCUGCCCCUCCCCUUACUCUCCCCUGGACUUGGAUGGGCCCGAGUUGGGGGCAACACCCUGGGCAUUGGGGCUUUCCAGCUCUCACAGAACCUUCAGCAUCCCCAGCUGGCAGUCUUGGCAUCUUCGAAGUCAGGAGAGUUUUAGAUGCUUCUGGAUGUUCAAUGCUAGCACCUUUACAGACUGGAGCAGCUCGAUUUUCUUCAUAUUUACUUUCAAGAGCAAGAAAAGUGCUGGGCUCCCACUUAUUUUCUCCCUGUGGUGUUCCGGAGUUCUGCUCCAUAUCCACCAGAAAGCUGGCGGCCCACGGCUUUGGCGCAUCCAUGGCGGCAAUGGUGCCCUUCCCUCCCCAGAGGUAUCACUACUUUUUAGUGCUGGACUUUGAGGCCACGUGCGACAAGCCACAGAUUCAUCCUCAGCUACUCAUCGGGAGUUCCUGCCUAGGAAGCCGGACUUGGUUCAGGCAUGCUAGGGAAAUCAUCGAGUUCCCCAUCCUGAAGCUAAAUGGCCGGACCAUGGAGAUUGAGUCUACCUUUCACAUGUAUGUCCAGCCCGUAGUCCAUCCACAGCUUACUCCCUUCUGUACAGAGCUCACCGGGAUUAUUCAAGCCAUGGUGGAUGGUCAGCCAAGCCUGCAGCAAGUGCUGGAGAGGGUCGAUGAGUGGAUGGCGAAAGAAGGCCUCUUAGAUCCAAACGUCAAGUCAAUUUUUGUCACCUGUGGCGACUGGGACUUGAAAGUCAUGCUCCCAGGCCAGUGCCAGUACUUGGGCUUGCCAGUGGCGGAUUACUUCAAGCAGUGGAUUAAUCUGAAAAAGGCUUACAGCUUCGCCAUGGGCUGCUGGCCCAAGAAUGGACUUCUAGACAUGAACAAGGGCCUCAGCCUGCAGCACAUAGGCCGGCCCCACAGCGGCAUUGAAAAGAAGAAACCGAGACACAGAGAGGUGAAAUAAAAGCGCGGUAACUUGCUCAAGUUCACAGUUACGAAGUGAUGGAGUUUGGAUUCGAACCCAGAAUCUCAGGAUAUCCAAGGCCCCCUGCUGGUUCAGUCCUAAAUUCACUGCUUUGGCGCCUGUCUUCCUUCUGAGCUGCCAUUUGCGGCUGUACCUUUGAAUUGUAUCCAGCUGUAGUUUGAGGUGCUGGCCCCCAGCAAAGAGUUAUCUGGUUAGCAAAUAAAAAUGUAGGACUCCAAUUAAACCAAUUAAAUCUGAACUUCAGCCACACAACAGAUAACUUUUUAGUAUAAGUAUGUCCCUUCUGGGGCUGGGGACUUAUUCCUCUGGCAGGCCCAGCAUUGACCCACUGGCCCCUUGCUGUCAGGCAUGAUGCUGCCACGAUGUCCAGACAGACAGAUAGAUGUAAUAACAGAAUGAGGUUCUAGAAUGUCAGCACGCUGGGGUUCCUGCACCCUAGCCCAUCCUUGCUGGCCCCUCCUCCGUGGGCUCUGGCCCUGUUCCUCACCAGCUCCUGGAGAUCACUGAGAGAGGGUGCUUCCCAGGUUGGGCUUCUUGGAGAGGAGGCCUCAGAUGACUGCAAGAACAUUGCCAACAUCAUGAAGACACUUGCAUAUCAAGGCUUCAUCUUCAAGCAGACAUCAAAGCCAUUCUGAUUGGCCGAGGACGGGAUGGGGCAGGACAGGGUAGCUGCUUGGCCCAGCCCAGAACCCUCCUUUCCCUCACCAGAGGGGAAAAGGGAGAGUGGCACAGCUCUACAUCCAGAGUGUCCCCCAGCCUGCCCUGUGGGCUUAUGCCCUGGGUAAGGGCUUGGCCACUCGGCCCCUCUGGAGCAGACACUUUGUGCCCCCCUGCCCCAACCCCUCAACCUCAGCCCAGUAUUAGCCCCUCCCAUUGUGGGCCUGGGCUAGGGGAACCCAGGCACUCACCGCCUCUUCCCUGGUACACAGGCUUCUGCUGGGGCCACCAAGCCCCCCUGUGCCCCCUCCCAUCUGUAGUGCAUGGUGUGUGGUGCCCCCAGGGCUCCAGGACAGAUCAGGCCCCACCUUGUGUCUACCCCCAUCCCCGCUGUGAACGUGCCACUGAAUAAAGUCGGGGAAACAAG
Molecule: RNA transcript, 2299 nt
Organism: Canis lupus familiaris (dog)
Lineage: Eukaryota; Metazoa; Chordata; Mammalia; Carnivora; Canidae
Gene: ERI3
Gene name: ERI1 exoribonuclease family member 3
Exons: 11
Source: RefSeq, a predicted model, not a curated record